RNAcentral lists this long non-coding RNA (2240 nucleotides) under Macaca mulatta (Rhesus monkey). RNAcentral's name for it is "lncRNA (ENSMMUG00000058775.1)". The record is from RNAcentral. Lineage: Eukaryota; Metazoa; Chordata; Mammalia; Primates; Cercopithecidae.
AUGCACAAUCAGAGGUGUGAGGUUAUGGACCUGGUCACCCACUGUGCACGAUCAGAGCCGUGCGAGGUUACAGACCUGGUCACCAGCUGCACCCAAUCAGAAGCUUUUGAGUUUAGGGACCUGGUCACCCGCUGUGCACAGAAGUGUGAGGUUAUGGACCUGAUCACCUGCUGUGUCCAAUCAGAGCCAGGCAAUGUUACAGAUCUAGUCACCAGCUGCACCCAAUCAGAAGCUUUCAAGGUUACGGACCUGGUCACCCACUGUAUCCAAUCAGAGGCAUGUAAGGUUAGGGACCAUGCACGUGGUGAUGGACCUAGUCACCCGCCAAGACUCCUGAUGUUUCCAGUGUCAUCCCAUCUUCCUUCAAAACUUGAAAAAUCUUUAGAUAUUUCCCAAAGCUCGUCCAUCUUUGAAAACGAUAUGUGUGCGCACAGCCUGAACGUGCACGUACAUGCUCUGCUGCAGGUGCACUGCCGUAUGUAGACCAGCAAUGCUCUUUCCUGCCUCGGGUUCUCGUCACUGCCUUCCGGAAAAUCUCACCUGCUUUACAGCCAAGCCAGGUAGGCCUGGUCAGCCGCACAGUGAAACUCCUGCAGUGUCAGAGCUAAGUGCUGGCUGAGACUUUAACGGCGAAGACAGUGGAAGUAAUGGGGAUAAACUGAGCAAAACUGUAUUGUAACGCAGAUGAACGUCUAGAAGCAAAAGAAACUGACACCCCUGAGAGCAGGCGACUGUCUCUUACUAUGAUGUUAAUAGCAGCUUGCUGUUUCCAGUGUCUCCGUGUGCCAGGGUUUCCAGUCAGCGUUUGUGUUUAUCUGCUCUUGGGCUACCUGAUCAAACCUCGCAGAGAUCAGGGAUAUCUAAAUUGACCCAGUAUCUGCAGGUGGCUGCUCAGAGGCCGUGGUGUGGAACGGCCAGGACAUCGCUUAGUCCAUACGGGGCACAAGCAUGUCACUUGCCACUCCUGUCUUUCUGUUUCAUCAAACCCUCUUUCUCCUGAAUAUUGACCAUAGCAAAGUCAUUAGCCUUUGAGAUGCAUUUGAAACAUCAACUUGCUUUGUUCAAGAGGUUUAAGACACACGUAAGUCUUUCUUGCCAUGCUCAACACACACAGCCGCCGUUUCUGAAGUCAGUGUUUCUGGAACAAAAGCCUCGGCCUGCCCCAGUGAACAUUCACAAUGAGCACACUGUCGCAAGGCUGCUUGGCCAACCAGCAGGGGGCAGGAGAGAGCUGCAGGGGCCACGUGGGGUCCCUGCAAAGGCGCCUCACUCCCUCAAAUCAAGAGCGGUGCCUCCUGCCAAUCCAGCGGCUUCCUCCAAGGGGAAGAGGCCUCUUCAGCUGCUACUGCACUGAUUUCAGACGGCUCAGCCAAUGGGGCAACAGAUUCAACAGAGUUCUAUGUUGUUUAAGGAAAACUUCUGUUACCAGGCAACCUUAGUACCAUAUUCAACGUAAAAUAACCAACAACAUUGUUUCCAAAACAACAUGCUACUAGUGCCUUAUCCUUCAAUGCUGCUUAAACACGGAAAAGUAUGAGGAAAAAAGAGCAUGGCACUUACUUCUUAAAAAAUAACACCUCUUCCAGGUUAUUUUUACCCCUAUCAUAAAGACUUAGAACUGUGGAUUCCCUACAGGAACGUGGAGUGGGGGUGGAUCCCCACGCUGACCCAGCCUCACCCCAGGUCAGUCUUCCCCCCCACCACGGGGUUCACACCUCUCCAGGCCCUGUCACCUCAUCAAGGAAAGGUGGCGUCUCUGAGCUCUCUUCGCAGGAAGCACCCGAACGGGAGCUAGAGACACAGACACACCCACAACUGCUUUGAAAUCCUGAACAUAUUUAAGGACUUCAUUAUUAGCUUUUUAAAACUGUAAGAACAAAGUGACCCUGGUUUUAACCUCUCUGCCACAAUAACACCAUGUCCAUCUGUCUUUUACUGUUUGUUCCUUCUCCAGCAGCCGCUGCCUGGCUGGCCGACUGCAGAAGAACAGCCUCUGGUACUCCUGGGAAGCCCUCGGUAAAAGCGUGAACACCACGAUCACGUCUCAGGACGCCGCACAUGUUAGGGUCGCCCACAGACCGCCAUUCCCAGUGCCUAGAAGGCACUGAACGGGCCUCCUGCUCUUUGUAAAUGUCAACUUUCCUAAGCUAAGUUGUGUUGAAAAUUUUUAACUGCAGUCCACACGUACUUCUUUGUGUCUUGUUUUUAUCCUAGAGGAAUUUUUAUGGAAAAUUAAGCUU